This 429-nucleotide ribosomal RNA is filed under the name Bacteroidota bacterium. Its description in RNAcentral is "Bacteroidetes bacterium partial 16S ribosomal RNA". It matches the Rfam family "Bacterial small subunit ribosomal RNA", at positions 355 to 776 of the family's 1533-position model. The record is from RNAcentral. Lineage: Bacteria; Pseudomonadati; Bacteroidota.
UAGGGAAUCUUCCGCAAUGGACGCAAGUCUGACGGAGCAACGCCGCGUGAGUGAAGAAGGAUUUCGGUUCGUAAAACUCUGUUGUUAGAGAAGAACAGCGCAUAGAGUAACUGUUAUGCGUGUGACGGUAUCUAACCAGAAAGCCACGGCUAACUACGUGCCAGCAGCCGCGGUAAUACGUAGGUGGCAAGCGUUGUCCGGAUUUAUUGGGCGUAAAGCGAGCGCAGGCGGUCAAUUAAGUCUGAUGUGAAAGCCCCGGGCUCAACCGGGGAGGGUCAUUGGAAACUGGUUGACUUGAGUGCAGAAGAGGAGAGUGGAAUUCCAUGUGUAGCGGUGAAAUGCGUAGAUAUAUGGAGGAACACCAGUGGCGAAGGCGACUCUCUGGUCUGUAACUGACGCUGAGGCUCGAAAGCGUGGGUAGCAAACAGG